Molecule: ribosomal RNA, 257 nt
Filed under: Pratylenchus zeae
Lineage: Eukaryota; Metazoa; Nematoda; Chromadorea; Rhabditida; Pratylenchidae
Description: 5.8S ribosomal RNA
Rfam family: 5.8S ribosomal RNA (bases 1-151)
About the family: 5.8S ribosomal RNA (5.8S rRNA) is a component of the large subunit of the eukaryotic ribosome. It is transcribed by RNA polymerase I as part of the 45S precursor that also contains 18S and 28S rRNA.
Source: RNAcentral
UCUUAUCGGUGGAUCACUCGGCUCGUGGGUCGAUGAAGAGCGCAGCUAACUGCGAUAACUAGUGUGAACCGCAGAAACAUUGAACACUAAAGUCUCGAAUGCACAUUGCGCCAUCGGAGUCUCAUCCUUUGGAGCGCCUGGUUCAGGGUCGUAAACCAAACAAAAGCAAAAUUUGCUUCAGAGCAAGGAAUAUUCAUGUAGACAAUUGGGGCAUGUCUAUUUGAAAAUAUGCGAGAGGAGGCCGUCGCCUUGUGUGU